AUGGCUUGUUCAUGUGGGGCUUCUAAGGAGGAAGCCGAAGACUGGAUCUCAUCUGCCGAAGGCUUAAAGCAGAUCCUUGUCUCGAAGGGACUCCACAGCUUUCCCUCCCAACUGCUGCUUAUCUUCCUUUCGUUUCAGGGGCAGAUAGACCAUACAUUUGCAUAAAAGAGCAGACAUGAAAUGCAGAUUUUGGCCAUGUCUUCUGACCUAAAGAAUCAGUUUCAGUCACAAUGAGGCAUAACAAGAGCCUGUUCACAACUAGGUAAAUUGAUCCUACCAUUUCUUUCUAUCUUUUCUACUAUUGAGAAUGAAUUCAGUGGACACAGAAAGAGUGUUGGGUAACAUUGGACCCCUACUAUGCUCUAUGGUGAAUAGAAUUAAGACACCAAGGCUAGAACACAGAAUAAGUUGCGAGGACAAAUGUGCUUCUGGUGAUAAUCUCAGUUGCAGUGGAGUCUCUACCAGCUAAGUUGGUGCUCCAAAGACUCUGGUUAUUAAUGAUCAACAAAUAGAAGUAGCUUCUUUAUCAACACAUCAAUUGACAGCUGAGUAUUGAGCAUUUCUAACCUUUGUUGCAGCUCAUAUUGUUUAUACAUGAGAGCAUUGUCAUUUUGUUGCAACAAUUUUAUGUGCAUCGAUCGGUUUGUCCAAAUUAUAGCUGUAGUUUUCGGUGUUUAAUGCAGAGUAUUGAAGGUCUCAAUCCCAAUAACUUGUUCCAAGAUGCUGAUGCAAGAAAAUCUGAUGACAAGUCUAAAGUUCACAGCGACCCUAACCAUGUCUCCAUCUACGGCAUUGUUCAGCAUCUCCUCAUCUUGUUGGCCACCAAGCUGUCAACUAGGAGUAUCUGCAGCAGGCUCAUCAGCUAAGAACCAGCACAGGGAAGAAUGAGAAACCAUUCCAUUAAGCUAUCUGGAAGGAAUUUGUCACUGUUGAUCUUCAGGUUCAGAAUGCGACCGAAGGUUGGUGAGUUCCAUCGAUACACAUCUCAUCAUCAUCGAUACGCAUUUCAUCAUCGUCGAUUCAUCUAUCUAUUAAUGCAGUAAGAAGGCAUUCAUACUUUGAGGAAAAAGCUUGAGGGAAACAACAUCAAAGAGUUAGACAUAUUUAAUAACUCAAAAAUAAACUUUAUGAUAUUAUUGAGGGAAGAAUCAAUGUUCGAAAAAUCUUUGAACUGUUCCAGUCAAGUUUGGUAUAAUUGAAAAGCACAUAUUCUGAGGUAGAGAACAAAAGGUUCAAAUAUGAUGCCCAUCAAGGAAAAGAGAGUGCCACUAUCUAGGCUCUAAAAUUCCCUUGAUGGACUCUCUAUUUAAUAUCAUGUCAAUGAAUUCUAGUGAUGGUCACAUGGCACAAUGGGACAUGAAGCUGAUAGAUUAGAACAAAAGGUAAAAUGACUGCAUUCGGUCACUAUCAAGUGAGUGAAACAAAUGAUCCAUAUUCCCUCCAUGCUAUACAAAUCUUGAUAAGCUCUAAUGCUAAAGAUAGACUAGAAUCUUUCUUUGUUUUUCACCACAUAAUUUAAUCUUAGAGUGCAAAAGAUCAUUAACCAUGCAAUAAAUUGUACAAUCCACAUAAGCAUUGCAGUCAGCAGUCUUACUGCUCAUUCUG
Musa acuminata AAA Group (dessert banana) is the source of this 1605-nucleotide long non-coding RNA. RefSeq lists it as uncharacterized. The transcript is spliced from 3 exons. Lineage: Eukaryota; Viridiplantae; Streptophyta; Magnoliopsida; Zingiberales; Musaceae. The record is from RefSeq and is a predicted model, not a curated record.